This is a non-coding RNA of Trichomalopsis sarcophagae, 46 nucleotides long. Lineage: Eukaryota; Metazoa; Arthropoda; Insecta; Hymenoptera; Pteromalidae. The record is from Rfam.
UAAUCAGCCCUUUUUAGGGCUACCAAAUAUUUUUUAACGUAUAAAC